CCUACGGGUGGCAGCAGUGAGGAAUAUUGGUCAAUGGGCGAGAGCCUGAACCAGCCAAGUCGCGUGAAGGAUGACGGCCCUACGGGUUGUAAACUUCUUUUGUCAGGGAGCAAUUGUGUCCACGCGUGGGCUUAGCGAGAGUACCUGAAGAAAAAGCAUCGGCUAACUCCGUGCCAGCAGCCGCGGUAAUACGGAGGAUGCGAGCGUUAUCCGGAUUUAUGGGGUUUACAGGGUGCGGAGGCGGAAUAUCAAGUCAGCGGUAAAAAUUCGGGGCUAAACCCCGUCGUGCCGUUGAAACUGAUGUUAUUGAGUGGGCGAGAAGUAGGCGGAAUGCGUGGUGUAGCGGUGAAAUGCAUAGAUAUCACGCAGAACUCCGAUUGCGAAGGCAGCAUACCGGCGUCCAACUGACGCUGAAGCACGAAAGCGUGGGGAUCGAACAGGAUUAGAUACCCCAGUAGUC
This 460-nucleotide ribosomal RNA is filed under the name uncultured bacterium. RNAcentral's name for it is "partial 16S ribosomal RNA". It matches the Rfam family "Bacterial small subunit ribosomal RNA", at positions 338 to 795 of the family's 1533-position model. The record is from RNAcentral.